UACGUAGGGUGCAAGCGUUGUCCGGAAUUAUUGGGCGUAAAGAGCUCGUAGGCGGUUUGUCACGUCGGAUGUGAAAACCCGGGGCUUAACCCCGGGCCUGCAUUCGAUACGGGCUGACUAGAGUUCGGCAGGGGAGACUGGAAUUCCUGGUGUAGCGGUGAAAUGCGCAGAUAUCAGGAGGAACACCGGUGGCGAAGGCGGGUCUCUGGGCCGAUACUGACGCUGAGACGCGAAAGCGUGGGGAGCGAACAGG
RNAcentral lists this ribosomal RNA (253 nucleotides) under uncultured bacterium. RNAcentral's name for it is "partial 16S ribosomal RNA". It matches the Rfam family "Bacterial small subunit ribosomal RNA", at positions 524 to 776 of the family's 1533-position model. The record is from RNAcentral.